This is a long non-coding RNA of Brienomyrus brachyistius, 3694 nucleotides long. RefSeq lists it as uncharacterized. The record is from RefSeq and is a predicted model, not a curated record. The transcript has 6 exons. NCBI's taxonomy places the organism in Eukaryota, Metazoa, Chordata, Actinopteri, Osteoglossiformes, Mormyridae.
CACCCAUGGUGCACUGUGAGCAGGUAUACAGGCCCACAGAGCAAGCAGAUAAUUAUCUGUGACACCCAUGGUGCACUGUGAGCAGGUAUACAGGCCAACAGAGCAUGCAGAUAAUUAUCUGUGACACCCAUGGUGUACUGUGAACAGGUAUACAGGCCCACAGAGCAAGCAGAUAAUUAUCUGUGACACCCAUGGUGCACUGUGAGCAGGUAUACAGGCCAACAGAGCAUGCAGAUAAUUAUCUGUGACACCCAUUGUACACCGUGAGCAGGAAUACAGGCCCACAGAGCAUGCAGAAAAUUAUCUGUGACACCCAUGGUGCACUGUGAGCAGGUAUAGAGGCCCAGAGAGCAUGCAGAUAAUUAUCUGUGACACCCAUGGUGCACUGUGAGCAGGUAUACAGGCCAACAGAGCAUGCAGAUAAUUAUCUAUGACAGCCAUGGUGCACUGUGAACAGGUAUACAGGUCAACAGAGCAUGCAGAUAAUUCUGUGACACCCAUUGUACACUGUGAGCAGGUAUACAGUCCAACAGAGCAUGCAGAUAAUUAUGUAUGACAGCCAUGGUGCACUGUGAGCAGGUAUAGAGGCCCACAGAGCAUGCAGAAAAUUAUCUGUGACACCCAUUAUACACUGUGAGCAGGUAUACAGGCCAACAGAGCAUGCAGAUAAUUAUCUGUGACAGCCAUGGUGCACUGUGAGCAGGUAUAGAGGCCCAGAGAGCAUGCAGAUAAUUAUCUGUGACACCCAUUGUAUACUGUGAGCAGGUAUAUAGGCCAAUAGAGCAUGCAGAAAAUUCUGUGACACCCAUUCUACUCUUUGAGCAGGUAUACAGGCCUAGAGAACAUGCAGAUAAUUAUCUGUGAUACCCAUGGUGCACUGUGAGCAGGUAUACAGGCCAACAGAGCAUGCAGAUAAUUAUCUGUGACACCCAUUGUAUACUGUGAGCAGGUAUACAGGCCAACAGAGCAUACAGAUAAUUAUCUAUGACACCCAUGGUGCACUGUCAGCAGGUAUACAGGCCAACAGAGCAUGCAGGUAAUUAUCUAUGACACCCAUGGUGCACUGUGAGCAGGUAUAGAGGCCCAGAAAGCAUGCAGAUAAUUAUCUGUGACACCCAUUAUACACUGUGAGCAGGUAUACAGGCCAACAGAGCAUGCAGAUAAUUAUCUGUGACACCCAUGGUACACUGUGAGCAGGUAUAGAGGCCCAGAGAGCAUGCAGAUAAUUAUCUGUGACACCCAUGGUGCACUGUGAGCAGGUAUACAGGCCAACAGAGCAUGCAGAUAAUUAUCUGUGACACCCAUUGUACACCGUGAGCAGGAAUACAGGCCCACAGAGCAUGCAGAAAAUUAUCUGUGACACCCAUGGUGCACUGUGAGCAGGUAUACAGGCCAAAAGAGCAUGAAGAUAAUUAUCUGUGACACCCACGGUGCACUGUGAGCAGGUAUACAGGCCAACAGAGCAUGCAGAUAAUUCUGUGACACCCAUUGUACAUUGUGAGCAGGUAUACAGGCCCAAAGAGCAUGCAGUUAAUUAUCUGUGACACCCAUGGUGCACUGUGAGCAGGUAUAUGUCACAGGAGAUCGUGGGCAGCGAUCACGGGCAAGGAGCAGGCAGGCAAGCGGGAUACGGGAAAACGGGGGUUUAUUCUUAGGAAUCGGGGCAAGGGACAUCAGACACAGACUGACAUCAGGUAACAUCAAUGACAGACAACGGGUUAGUACAAAACAGGAACUUAAAUACAUGGAACAAGGCAGCAGGAAAGAAGACACGACUGGGCACGAUCAGGAAAUCACACGUGGGUAAUUAGGGGGCGUGGCACACACGAGGAGCGGACGAGCCGGGCAUGACAGUAUACAGGCCAACAGAGCAUGCAGAUAAUUAUCUAUGACAGCCAUUGUACACUGGAAGCAGCUGUACAGGCCAACAGAGCAUGCAGAUAAUUAUCUGUGACGAGCAUUCUUCACUGUGAACAGGUAUACAGGCCCACAGAGCAAGCAGAUGAUUAUCUAUGACACCCAUGGUGCACUGUGAGCAAGUAUAGAGGCCCAGUGAGCUUGCAGAUAAUUAUCUGUGACACCCAUAGUGCACUGUGAGCAGGUAUGGAGGCCCACAGAGCAUGCAGAUAAUUAUCUGUGACACCCAUUGUAUACUGUGAGCAGGUAUACAGGCCAACAGAGAAUGCAGAUAAUUAUCUGUGACACCUAUUGUACACUGUGAGCAGGUAUACAGGCCAACAGAGCAUGCAGAUAAUUAUCUAUGACAGCCAUGGUGCACUGUGAACAGGUAUACAGGUCAACAGAGCAUGCAGAUAAUUCUGUGACACCCAUUGUACACUGUGAGCAGGUAUACAGUCCAACAGAGCAUGCAGAUAAUUAUCUAUGACAGCCAUGGUGCACUGUGAGCAGGUAUAGAGGCCCAGAGAGCAUGCAGAUAAUUAUCUGUGACGCCCAUUAUAUACUGUGAGCAGGUAUACAGGCCAAUAGAACAUGCAGAUAAUUAUCUGUGACACCCAUUGUAUACUGUGAGCAGGUAUAUAGGCCAAUAGAGCAUGCAGAAAAUUCUGUGACACCCAUUCUACUCUUUGAGCAGGUAUACAGGCCUAGAGAACAUGCAGAUAAUUAUCUGUGAAACCCAUGGUGCACUGUGAGCAGGUAUACAGGCCAACAGAGCAUGCAGAUAAUUAUCUGUGACACCCAUUGUAUACUGUGAGCAGGUAUACAGGCCAACAGAGCAUACAGAUAAUUAUCUAUGACACCCAUGGUGCACUGUGAGCAGGUAUACAGGCCAACAGAGCAUGCAGAUAAUUAUCUGUGACACCCAUGGUGCACUGUGAGCAGGUAUAGAGGCCCAGAGAGCAUGCAGGUAAUUAUCUAUGACACCCAUGGUGCACUGUGAGCAGGUAUAGAGGCCCAGAGAGCAUGCAGAUAAUUAUCUGUGACACCCAUUAUACACUGUGAGCAGGUAUACAGGCCAACAGAGCAUGCAGAUAAUUCUGUGGCACCCAUUGUACAAUUUGAGCAGGUAUAAAGGCCUAGAGAACAUGCAGAUAAUUAUCUGUGAUACCCAUGGUGCACUGUGAGCAGGUAUACAGGCCAACAGAGCAUGGAGAUAAUUAUUUGUGAUACCCAUUGUAUACUGUGAGCAGGUAUACAGGCCAACAGAGCAUGCAGAUAAUUAUCUGUGACACUCAUUGUACACUGUGAGCAGGUAUACAGGCCAACAGAGCAUGCAGAUAAUUAUCUGUGACACCCAUGGUGCACUGUGAGCAGGUAUACAGGCCAACAGAGCAUGCAGAUAAUCAUCUGUGACACUCAUUGUACACUGUGAGCAGGUAUACAGGCCAACAGAGCAUGCAGAUAAUUAUCUAUGACAGCCAUGGUGCACUGUGAGCAGGUAUACAGGCCCCCAGAGCAUGCAGAUAAUUCUGUGACACCCCUUGUACAUUGUGAACAGGUAUCAGUACUGACUACUUUUUAUACUGAGUCACAUGUUUUAUGUGAAUUACUUUGUACUGAACUGAAGGCCAGUAUUUGUCACUGUGAAUAUGUUGUUGCAGACGUCCAUCCAGAAAUCAGAGCUGGGGGAAAAGAUAAGGUCCUUAUUCCAAUUAAUUUUUGGUACAAAAAUAAAAGUGUCUGUCGCAGAUGGAGGAUUAUAUAUUCUAGAGGUUAGUUUCUUUUUAUUUUUAAG